Molecule: ribosomal RNA, 253 nt
Filed under: uncultured bacterium
Lineage: Bacteria
Description: partial 16S ribosomal RNA
Rfam family: Bacterial small subunit ribosomal RNA
Source: RNAcentral
UACGGGGGGGGCAAGCGUUGUUCGGAAUUACUGGGCGUAAAGGGCUCGUAGGCGGCCAACUAAGUCAGACGUGAAAUCCCCAGGCUCAACCUGGGAACUGCGUCUGAUACUGGAUGGCUUGAGUUCGGGAGAGGGAUGCGGAAUUCCAGGUGUAGCGGUGAAAUGCGUAGAUAUCUGGAGGAACACCGGUGGCGAAGGCGGCAUCCUGGACCGAUACUGACGCUGAGGAGCGAAAGCCAGGGGAGCAAACGGG